CCUUGUCACCCUCACCCCGCUCCUGGACCCGCCCCCGGGCCCUGCGACCCCCAUCCCGUCAGCCAGCCCUCCCUCCAAUGAUCUCUCAUCCUGGGUCCCACGGGGGACCCAGGAACAGUUCAGGCCAUGUCCCCUGCCACUCCCCUGGGCCCCAUCUCCCAGAGGCAGCACUCUGACACCUCCCACCCCUCUGUCCUGCGUGGCUCCCGGCUGUCCACGGGGUUUUGUGGGGGGGGGGUCUGAGCUGACACCCUGUGUACCCCCUCCCGGUGUCUCUCCCGCCUGCAGAUGACGUGCUGCCCAUUUUCGCCUACCCGCACAAGCUGGGUAAGUCAGUCACCGGGGGCUACGUGUACCGGGGCUGCGAGAACCCCAACCUGAACGGCCUCUACAUUUUCGGGGACUUCAUGAGCGGGCGCCUCAUGUCCCUCCGAGAAAACCCAGGAACGGGCCAGUGGCGGUACAGUGAGGUCUGCAUGGGCCGAGGGCAGACCUGCGCUUUCCCAGGCCUCAUCAACAACUACUACCCACACAUCAUCUCCUUCGCAGAGGAUGAGGCUGGGGAGUUGUACUUCAUGUCCACAGGUGUGCCGAGUGCCACAGCAGCCUAUGGUGUUGUCUACAAAGUGAUCGACCCAUCCAGACGGGCACCACCUGGCAAGUGUCACAUCCAGCCUGCCCAGGUGAAAGUGAGGAGCCGCCUCAUCCCCUUUGUGCCCAAAGAAAGUAAGUGCCCACUGAGGGGUUCACUGUGGGGGGGGCUCUGCUGCUGCCUCCUGCUCCCCCUCCAGCCAGGACCAGGCCCCUCCUUGGUCACUGGGGCCAGAACCAUGCCUGGUACACAUUGGACACUUAGUUAAGUGGGGCAGAAAUGCACCGUAUGUGAGUUAGACUGGCCACAACUCAAACUAGGUCCUAGGCUGUGGGCAGGUGGUGCCUACUGGAAGGGGAAGAAAAGCCAGGCCGGG
This 968-nucleotide long non-coding RNA is filed under the name Fukomys damarensis (Damara mole-rat). RNAcentral's name for it is "lncRNA (ENSFDAG00000032704.1)". The record is from RNAcentral. Lineage: Eukaryota; Metazoa; Chordata; Mammalia; Rodentia; Bathyergidae.